Long non-coding RNA from Parus major (Great Tit), 5231 nucleotides. RefSeq lists it as uncharacterized. The record is from RefSeq and is a predicted model, not a curated record. Lineage: Eukaryota; Metazoa; Chordata; Aves; Passeriformes; Paridae. The transcript is spliced from 5 exons.
AAAGCCCAUUAAUGGUGGCAGUUUGUGACACAACUGAAGGCUCCUCUAAGGGACAGCUCUCCGCGAUUCCACCGCGUGCCGGCUUUGGAGGCGUUUGCUGGCGUGGUGAGGCUCAGCUUCCCCCUCUGUUUCCCAGGCUCCAGAGACUAAUCCUUCCUUUGGCUGGCUCUGCUGCUGCUAUGGCAAUAUUUUCUCCCCCAUCGUGGUAAUCACGCAAUGGUCUCUGAGAACAGCAGGAGAAGCUGUGCCUGGUAGAUGCAUAAAAGGUGUUUGUCAUCUGUCCCGAGCCGAAAGGAUGCAUGGCACAUUCCCAGCCUGUUCCCAGUGCCCGCUGCCCCUGCAGGACUCUGGCAGCCCAGGAGGGCAGUGUGGGGAGCAAGUAUUUCAUGGCAGCAAAGGUGCUGGGAAGAAAAUGUACCUGGUGCAGGAGGAAGAGCCCGACACAACGAGCUACUCGGGAGCUCUGGCUCCAUGGACUGUGCUCUCCCAGCUCCAGUGUUUAUACUGAGGCCAUGAGACACAGGAAAUCACAUUUAUGUCAUUAGCUCUGGCUCUCCUAGGUUUGUAUCAAAGUAGCUGUUUUAAAUGUAAUUAUCACUAAUCUGGGAAAACGCACCAUUAGAUAUGUAAAUUUAUUGGUUAAUGGAUGCGCACGGCAGCUCGCAGUGGAUGGGAUGUGGGAUAACCAAACUGGAACCAUUUCUCAGCUUGCUAAGCAGGUUCCUAGGGGUGGGUUUCAUAUCUGACAGUCUCCCAGGUGCCUUCCCUAUAGGCCACCUGGGACCUGGAGCUUCCUCCCAUGGAAGGUGCACAUCCUGCCUUCCCCAUCAUGUUUGGGGUGGUGCAGAAACUUCUGCAGGAGUCCAGGAAGAAAAAGGGGAUGGCUCUUAAAAUUAUACAAGGAUCCAAAAAAAAAAAACCCCAUGGAGUCAUUCAUCAGGAUUGCAGUAGUUCUUGACCACAUAGUCAAUGAUUUAUGUAAUCUUAAUAUAUUCCACAAAGAGUCCCCAUAUUUCCAUAAAUAUGUCAUAUCUACCUAAUACAUAGUAAUGAACCUGCUCCAAGGGUAAAUAAAUAAGAUCUAAGCUCAGAAAGCCAAUGUUUAUCAAAGGGAGGUAUAGAGAUAUUGAGUCCUUUAAAGUACCAUUCUUCACAGCAAUCACAACCAAGUUUGGCAAUUUAUAACGUGUCGAGUCAAUUAGAAAUCCCAGGGCAGUGCAGCGGGGCUGGGCACGCGCGAGGGCUCGCAGGGCACAGACACAGAUGUGCCACACCCUGUGGGGAGCCCCCAGCACUGCCCCUCCACGGGCACUGAGAGCUGGCAGCACGUCUGAGAGACUGAUCCAGAAGGAGCUGUGGAAUCACUGGGGCUGGAAAAACCCUCUGAGAUCACCCAGUGCAACCCAGCACUGCCAACGCCACCACAAACCCACGUCCCCAAGUGCCACGUCUGCACAGCUUUUAAAUCCCUGCACCACUGCCCUGGGCAGCCUCUGUCACUGCCUGACCACUCUUUCCCUGAAUAAAUUGUUCCAAAUAUCCAAUCUGAACCACUCUGGCACAACUUGAGGCUGUUCCCUCUUGUCCUGUCCCUUGUUCCUGGGGAGCAGAGCCCGAGCCCUCACCUGCCAGGGAGUUGUGCAGAGCCAGAAGGGUCCCCUGCGCCUCCUUUUCACCAGGCUGAGCCCCUCACAGCUCCCUCAGCCCCUCCUGGUGCUCCCGACCCCUCCCCAGCUCCAUCGCCUGACUCUGGACAUGCAGAGUCUUGUUUACAGCUCCUGCUCUCAGGUAGGGGUUUCAUAAGAGGGAAAUAGUUUUAAGCAGAAAAUUUGACUUGGACUGUUUUAAUUUAUCUUAUUCCAUUUAUCCAUGGAGUUACAUACAACUGUGCAUAACAUGAUGUAACAUGCUAAUGUAAAUAUUUCCAUAAAAAUACAUUGAAAAUACCUAAAAAUGUAGCUGCAAAGGGAAAUAACUAAUUUUUUAGAGGUUGCGCCUUUUUAAUCUUAUUUUCUACAGCAAAGUAUUUCAUGCCAUUUUAUAAUUAGUUUGAUGAAGUCAAUAAUAAUAGAAUAUUCUGAUCAUGUCAAUAUGACAUGUAAUAUUAUGCACUUCUCUACUAUUAUGCAUAUUAUGACAUGACUUGACAUGAUAUGACAGGUCACAUUAUGCAUUACUACUGAUGUCAUAAAAUAAUGUAAAAGUAAUGAAAACAAAUCUUGCAAUGAAAAAUUUUUAAAGGAAUUAAUGACUUUUCCUGCAAGAAAUUCCAAAGCAAAUCUUCUUCCUUUCCAGUUUUAAGUUUGCUUCAUUGUGUUACUCCACUCUGCCCCCAGGUAAAACCUUUCAUUCCUCGUCCUCUGCUUUGCUGCCCGCUUGUUGCUUUGUUCCCCACAGCAGCUGGGCUCAGUGCUGGCUUUUAAAGCCUCCCAGGAGCAGUGUCAGGACACAGAAACCUGGAGCUGGGGGAUGUGUCCUGGCACACGAGAGGACGCGGGUGACAAGGACACCGCCUGACACCAGACUGGCACUUGCCAACUCCCAUGUGAAGUACACAGCGUGCUGAUCCUGAGCUCCCUCUGCUUCAAAGGCCGUAAGAGCCUGUGACUCCACCAACCUUUUAAAUGGAAAAGGGAAUCCCCGUGGAAGCAGUCGUGAGGCAGGGCAGGGCUGUGUGAGGAGGGAUGAAGGACACGGAUGCUCAGAAGGCUCCAGAUCAGGGCAGUUAUUUUCCAGCCCUAGAAGAUGCCUGUUCCUCAGUGCACACCAGGAAGGGAUGCUUUGCCGCUGGGAGGGAGGGAGGGAGCUGCAGGAUUUGCUUGUUUCUGUGUGGACAUGGCAAGCAGCAGCACAGAGCUUCUCUUCAUGCAGACUGUGCAGCCAUUAGAUGCUCAUCCCACAGCCUGGCAAGCGCAGUGGGACCCAGAGCCUGUGGCUGCCCCACUCCGGUGUCAGUGGCACCCUGGCCAGCACGGCUGCAGGACAGCCUGCCAGGGCCCCAGGGGCCGUGUGAGCCAGAACUGGCACGGCACAGCUUGGCCCCAGCCCUUCUGCCUGGGCUUAUCUGCAUCUCGUGUCUGAUCUGAGCAGGAUCCAUGAGAAGACAGUUAACCCACGGCUGACACAUCUGUGAUACGACGAUCAUAGCGAGGAAGCAGCUUGACCCCCAAAGGCUCCUGUGAACAGGCAGGAUUGACACUUUACAUUGACUUUGCUUCAGGCUUAUCAACAAAUCUCCGCCAGUUUUAUUAAAGAGGCGCAUGUGGGACGCGCCAGGCUCAGACAACUUCAUUCUCCAUGGCUCAGGCACCAAGUGCUCAGCUCGCUGCUCCUGCUUAUGCUCUACUGUGUUUAUGUGUUCGCUUUGCUGCUGAAUUGAGCUUUACAAAAGCCACUUGUGGUUUCAGUAAAAGCCCAUGGAGUUUCCUGGCGGUUUCAUGAGGAGGAGAAGAACAGGUUGGGGCUGUGGCACCCAGGGACAGUGGUGAGUGCAGGCAGUGGGGCAGGGACAUCCUGGCAUUCCUGAGGGAUGCAUAAUGCACUUGUGUCUCUGCAGAUCUCUGAAACCUGUCCUGAAUUACAUCCCCAGGAAACACUGAAUCCUAAAAUCCCACUCAAAACCCAGAUAAAGCUGCUUGGGUAGCGCUGACUUUUCUAAACUGGUUUCCUUGUUCUAGGCUCUAUUUUUUUAGCUCAGUUAAAUGUGUAUGUCAUAUUUUUAGCAGGACAAGAGGAUUGGGGCAGGUUCCACUGGAGGAGAAUCAGGGCAGCAAGCAACCAGCAGGAUAUACUUCUCUAAGGCAUCAUUUGGUAAUUAUGUCUCUUUUUACUCAUGCAAAUUGUAUCAAUAUUAUUUAUAUAUUCAGAGCCAUUUAUAAAUAAUAUAUACAUUUAUGCUAAGGUAAUUGCCUCAACUAGAUUAUUUGUCCCAGUUUUUAUUGUCUACCCAGAUGCUGAAUAUUAAAAGUAAGUUUUCUGGUCUGCGUUGGUGGCUCAGCACUGGCUGUGUUCCCAUGGGAAGAGAACUCUGCAUCAGCGGGUCUGGUGGGAGGAAAAGGCAGAGGAUGGUGCUGAGAGAAAGGGUAGGGAGAGGGGAAGGAUGACAGGAUGACAGGGAGGGAGCUGGGAGCCGGUGGCUGUCCCGAGGUGCUGGUGCCAGCCCCUGUGCAUGAGGUGCUGCAGCAAGCCCAAGCCCCCUCAGCAGGGCAGCAGCCAGGGGUGGGCUCCUGUCAGGAGGGACAGGGCUCCAGGAGUGGCUCAGGAAGCUGGUCCCAGUAUUGUUCACAUCCCAUCCCAGCUUCCACCUCUUCACUUACCAAAACUUGACAUUGCAAUGAAAAAAGAUUAGGAGCAUUGACAGGCCUGCAAAGGUGACAGCUACAAAGAAAUAUGGAGCAAUCACGUUGUCAGAGUGCCUAUUAGGAACCCAAAAACCUCGGCUCUCCUGCAUAAGCGCAAGUGAUUUAUUGCCCAGCACAGUUCAUGAACUCAUCAGUGGUUUUGCAUGGAGAAGAGAUGGAUUUUCUUUCAGCUGUUUAUGGUGUGAGUAGACUGUCCUGGAAGUUAUUGUUUGAUUUUAUCAGCCAGCAGUGCUCACUGGGUGAGCUGAGGCUCCCCAGCAAGCAGCCAGAACUCUCCAGAGGGCUGAAGAAGUGCUGCACAGGCACUUCCUGGGAAUUCCUGGAAUGACCUUGCUGAACAGAACAGCUCACACCUGGCUGGGCUGCAGUCUGUCCAAAACAAGAUCCUGUUCCUAUGUAGCCCAGAAAACCAACUUGUGCAGUAUCUUCUGGCUUCUUCCAGAGCAUGGUGCUGCUGUCCCAGGGCCCUCGGUGCCCCUGACCCCGCUGGCCACAGCUCUGAGGGCACCACUGCCUGCUGCUGGCUGCCACUUUUGACCGCCUGCUGCAUGAAAAGGUUUGAAGGCACGGAUGCAUCCUCAACUUUGUGACAGCCCUGUGUUUAUGUUACACAGGUAUUUGCAUCCUCUCCCCAGGACUGUGCCUUGGAUGCCCUGGGAACAGCUGUGGUUUAUGUCGAUUUUAAAGGUGAACUUUCAUGCUCAGUGAAAUUUUAAAAGCAGUUGAUUUACACAUGAAUCCACUUCUGGUGACAGUCAAUGUAGCUGUUUCCCUUCCUUAAUGGUUUGUGACUGAGGAGCUGGGCUGUAAACAAGUGGCUGCUGAGCAGAGCAGGCCUGUGGGCUGCCCUGUGCCCACCUGCUGCCUGUG